Molecule: ribosomal RNA, 274 nt
Filed under: uncultured bacterium
Lineage: Bacteria
Description: partial 16S ribosomal RNA
Rfam family: Bacterial small subunit ribosomal RNA
Source: RNAcentral
AUACGGAGGGUGCGAGCGUUAAUCGGAAUUACUGGGCGUAAAGCGCGUGUAGGCGGCUUGGCAAGUCGAAUGUGAAAUCCCGGGGCCCAACCCCGGAACUGCAUUCGAAACUGCCUGGCUCGAGUCUCGGAGAGGAAGGCAGAAUUCCCGGUGUAGGGGUGAAAUCCGUAGAUAUCGGGAGGAAUACCAGUGGCGAAGGCGGCCUUCUGGACGAUGACUGACGCUGAGACGCGAAAGCGUGGGGAGCAAACAGGAUUAGAAACCCCGGUAGUCC